GGCGGCUCGAGUGGUAACCGUUAUUAUUGGGUCUAAAGGGUCUGUAGCCGGCCGGAUAAGUCUCUUGGGAAAUCUGGCAGCUUAACUGUCAGGCUUUCAGGAGAUACUGUCUGGCUCGAGGCCGGGAGAGGUGAGAGGUACUUCAGGGGUAGGGGUGAAAUCUUGUAAUCCUUGAAGGACCACCAGUGGCGAAGGCGUCUCACCAGAACGGACCUGACGGCAAGGGACGAAAGCUAGGGGCACGAACCG
Molecule: ribosomal RNA, 249 nt
Filed under: uncultured euryarchaeote
Lineage: Archaea; Methanobacteriati; Methanobacteriota
Description: partial 16S ribosomal RNA
Rfam family: Archaeal small subunit ribosomal RNA
Source: RNAcentral